CGCCGCCGCCUCCUCGGCACCCUGCUGAUUUGCUUCUUCGUUCUCGUUGAUUUGUUUAUCUCGAUUUGCUUUGCUGUUCUCUGUUCCCAUUUUGCGAUUCGUUGGUGCUUCGUCAUCUGGUCAUUGGGAUGAUCAGUCUCUCGAGUCUGAUCGGUUCCCAAUGCACUCGUUCCCUUGAAGCAACAUCGUACCGUUGUAUCCCGAGUCCGCCCCUCUCGUGUGCCCUCCGAGUUUCUCUCCCAGGGCACCGGCGGCUCUUACAUACAUCUAAAAAGUUCCCAUUUCUCUCUGGACAUCUUGAUUUCGACAACCGUGAUGAGCCAAUUUUACAGUUGCAGACCUGUAAUGACUCCUGCGGAAAUGAUCGCAUGGUCAAAGAACAUCUAAGGGACUGAGUUGUCUUAGAAAUCAUCAUGAUUCCUGGUAGUACUAUAUUGGAUCUUGUUUUGCCGCGUGUUUUGGUCUGCUGCUUCUCUUAAGUAUUCGUGUCUGUGAACUAAUUUGUAUGGUUCCCGGGCAGUGAUUAGACGGGAAGCAGAAAGCAAUUGUUCCUCUCGCUAUCCAAUGCGGAAAUUCUGUGAUGCGAUUGGACGUCGAGGAACUACACUGCCUUAUUUGCUGAAUUCGAUUUCCUCAGUCCGGUUACUAUUUACGCUUGCAUUUGUUUGUUUAUAAAAGUGAUCUCUUUUGUUGCACAUGGUCACCGGAUCAAAACGCUGAUAUGAACGUAUAAAGAAAUGGUAUAUGUGGAAGGAUCUGCACGGGCGUUAAGGAAUGUUAAGUAUGCGGCUAAACUUGAUUUGCUCGGUCUUGUUCGGACCUUCUGCAUUUGCAUCGACUAGAAAGGUGCGCCAUAGGUCCUGGUUAAGGCGCAACCAGAACUUGCAAAAUGAAGCAUGGCAUAUGCCUCAAUUUUUGGCUCCAGAAUUUUAUGGGAUGUCAGAAAUUCAAGGAACCAGGACCUCAGGAAAACUGACGUGGCUGUAUUGGCCUCAGAUUCGCAGCACCGUUCGUUGUCUAAGACCAACAACAAAUAUCACAGUGUGCCUGCCCCCGGUAUCCCAUCACUUAUUUUAGAGGUCCUCAGUUGAUCAAUGUGGUUGGUAAUCAGUAACCCAGAUGAAUAUGUGAUACUUUUGUGUCCCUUGGUUUAUGCCGUCUGUGCCACAUUUAGCAUAGAAUUCCGAUUGUGUGCCUGCCCCCUGGGAAUUCAUUAUGUGCACUGUUAUCUUCCUUUCGAAAUUGUUUAAGAGGUUUCAUGCUCUCCUAUUUGUGAUCUAUGGGAUUUGCCCUUGAUCUAUUCGAUACAAUGACUGGAACCACGCUCCAGCCGCCCAUCGCAGGUCCUUUCGCCGCCGCUGAUCUAUUCGCUAUAUCGACGGAAACCACGCCCUGGCCGCCAUCACGGAUCCCUUUGCCGGCGCCCAGAUCCUAGAGGUGCCGCCGCCGAGCGCUUGUCGCUCGCCCCCGCCCGUCUCUCCCUCCUCGGCGUUGGCAGCUUCGAGUCCUUCAGACAGUGUGCCCCAGUCGCUCCCGUUCCUCCUCUGCUGUGACCUCCUACUGGGCGCCUCGGCCACGGUUGACCUCUUCUCCUUCCCCGAUCUCCUCGCGUCCGCCGCCGCUGCCCGGGGAGCAUGCCGAUCGCAGGUCGUCCUGGAGGUCACGGCUAGGGAGUUCGUCCCCAAGAUGUCGCAGGAGGCUGUGGCGCAGAUGGGCCAAGAGGAGCAGGGGCACCUUGCACUUGCCGGUCAAGCAGCUUGCAGAAUUCCGUCUGGCUACUCGAGCAGGUUCGCCGUUCUUGUUGUUCUUGCGUGUCAAGACUCUUGGCUGCAGACUUGCAGAUAUCAAGUACGAGUCAAUGCUUAAUUUUUGUCACGUUUCUUACUCACCACUGUUAUUUCUAGCAUCCAACAUACACGAAUUGAAUAGACCAACGGCAUUACAUGUUUCAUAAGCAUGUUUCUAAAUGCUAAUUAGCAGUUCUCAGUUCUGCAGAUACACUAUGAUUGCAGCGGGUGUUGGAAAAAAUCAUCCGAUGGUCGUGAGUGACGAAGGAAGUGCUUUGUAUUUGGUGACUGCUGGGGACGAGUUCACUAAGGAGUGGUUGACUCCCUCUCCUGUUGCUUUUUUAUGGUUGAUAGAUGACACAACUAGAAGUGCAGCAAAUACAACUUAUAUUGUCACCUGUUCUUAGAAUCUACCUGUUUCGGUGAUAAUGAAACCAAUAAAAAUAUUUAUGACAUGAGCAUACAUAACUUAUAUUGUUUAGGACGAUGGGGUAGUUCUGACAAUUUAUGGGAAUUUGACCAUAUGCGAAACUCAUUUUCCCACUGUGUUCUUACACUGCUGUUAUUUUUGUGUUGUCCCUGACUCCGUGUUGUUCCAAAUUUGGUGCGGGGACUAAGGUGUCGCCACUCCCCUGCCUUGUUACUAAAGCAACUAAUGUUGUUUGUGGUGCCGACUUCACUAAUCUAAUUGUCAUCGGUUGAGGCAUCUUCCGUACUGUAAGGCCUUCCUGAAACUAUUAAACUUAAAGAUUAGCACGUUUUUUUCUUUCAGAUAAAGCAAGCUUUGAUCAUCUUCUCAUCAUAACAACUUUAGAUUAUUAUCUGCUUUGGCUGUAAUUAGUGGGGUUUUUCCUUUGUCAUUUCUUUUAAGAUGUGUUUAGUUCUUUUGUGCUAUUCAGUACAUCAGGACUUCCUCGGUAUGGCCAACUUGGUCAUGGAAGCGAAUCAGGUUGGUUGCUACUAUGUUAACACACGAAACCUACUAAAUUUGCCACGCUGGAGGCGGGGAAACCUAGACCUAUGCUAAUUGAUUUAAUUAAUUAUUAUUAUUCGUUGGGCGUCCGAACAAGCAGCUGAGCGUUGGACAUGGCCUUAUGCCUCCGAAUAAUAUGUUCAUACCCCAUAAGUUCUUUGGAAUAUUCAUACAUCCAGUUCAGUACUAUUUUCCAUAUUUUAACUUUACAUACUGUUUUUUUAUUAUCUGAUGUUCAUUAUAAGUACCAGUCAAAAAACUGUUAAUUAUAAGUGCAUAGCAUAGCCCUAUAUUUAUUAUAUUCGGUGACCUUUUUUAUGAAAAUCAUUGCUACGAGUCACCAUUUUAUAUUUGGUGCUCAUACCCUAAACCUUUUGUAUUUGCAAGAUCACUCCUUAAUGCUAAGAGGGGAGAGAUGAUUUUAGGGAUAUUUUUGUCAAAGGAGAACAUUGACAAAAACAAUGAAUACAAGGAGCUUGCAGCCAUGAUGGAAUGAAUCUUUGCGUGGCAGCCUGCUUACCGCCCAGAUAGUGAGCCCCUGAGCUCCUGAAGAAAGGACAGUUGAAGGAGAUGAAAGAAGCGAACACAAAGGAUCCUACGCCAAAGAAUGAAGAGGCCGGGGAAAUGAUUGAAGGGGGUGCGUGGAGGACAUGUGCAUGGCGGAAGCUGGCGUGAUGACUGCGAAGGUCAAAGGAGAGAAGGCUCGCACUAGACUCAUUUUGGAGUCUCUGGACAGGCACAUCGCGCAUCAACCUUGGGUGAUUUAAGUGAGGGUGGUUCUAUAUUUUCCUCCCUCUUAUUUCUGUCAAUGACUAAAGAUAGAUGAUUAGGGAAUUUUUUUAUCGAUUGCCAUGGAUUACUGGAAAUUUUCAGCGAGGUAAAACAAAGGUGAUAUCUUGAGGAUCUAA
Molecule: long non-coding RNA, 3668 nt
Organism: Triticum dicoccoides
Lineage: Eukaryota; Viridiplantae; Streptophyta; Magnoliopsida; Poales; Poaceae
Exons: 4
Source: RefSeq, a predicted model, not a curated record